UCGAGCGGAACGAGAUAUCUGAACCUUCGGGGAACGAUAUCGGCGUCGAGCGGCGGACGGGUGAGUAAUGCCUAGGAAAUUGCCCUGAUGUGGGGGAUAACCAUUGGAAACGAUGGCUAAUACCGCAUAAUCUCUUCGGAGCAAAGAGGGGGACCUUCGGGCCUCUCGCGUCAGGAUAUGCCUAGGUGGGAUUAGCUAGUUGGUGAGGUAAUGGCUCACCAAGGCGACGAUCCCUAGCUGGUCUGAGAGGAUGAUCAGCCACACUGGAACUGAGACACGGUCCAGACUCCUACGGGAGGCAGCAGUGGGGAAUAUUGCACAAUGGGCGCAAGCCUGAUGCAGCCAUGCCGCGUGUAUGAAGAAGGCCUUCGGGUUGUAAAGUACUUUCAGCAGUGAGGAAGGUUCAUGCGUUAAUAGCGUAUGAAUUUGACGUUAGCUGCAGAAGAAGCACCGGCUAACUCCGUGCCAGCAGCCGCGGUAAUACGGAGGGUGCGAGCGUUAAUCGGAAUUACUGGGCGUAAAGCGCAUGCAGGUGGUUUGUUAAGUCAGAUGUGAAAGCCCGGGGCUCAACCUCGGAAUUGCAUUUGAAACUGGCAGACUAGAGUACUGUAGAGGGGGGUAGAAUUUCAG
Molecule: ribosomal RNA, 630 nt
Filed under: uncultured bacterium
Lineage: Bacteria
Description: bacterial SSU rRNA
Rfam family: Bacterial small subunit ribosomal RNA
Source: RNAcentral